AUUGAACGCUGGCGGCAUGCUUUACACAUGCAAGUCGAACGGCAGCGCGGGCUUCGGCCUGGCGGCGAGUGGCGAACGGGUGAGUAAUACAUCGGAACGUGCCCAGUAGUGGGGGAUAGCUCGGCGAAAGCCGGAUUAAUACCGCAUACGACCUGAGGGUGAAAGCGGGGGAUCUUCGGACCUCGCGCUAUUGGACCGGCCGAUGGCAGAUUAGCUAGUUGGUGGGGUAAAGGCCUACCAAGGCGACGAUCUGUAGCUGGUCUGAGAGGACGACCAGCCACACUGGGACUGAGACACGGCCUAGACUCCUACGGGAGGCAGCAGUGGGGAAUUUUGGACAAUGGGCGAAAGCCUGAUCCAGCAAUGCCGCGUGUGUGAUGAAGGCCUUCGGGUUGUAAAGCACUUUUGGCGGGAAAGAAAAGGACUGUGCCAAUACCACGGUUCGAUGACGGUACCCGCAGAAUAAGCACCGGCUAACUACGUG
This 484-nucleotide ribosomal RNA is filed under the name uncultured bacterium. RNAcentral describes it as "partial 16S ribosomal RNA". It matches the Rfam family "Bacterial small subunit ribosomal RNA", at positions 29 to 507 of the family's 1533-position model. The record is from RNAcentral.